CAGCACCUCAAGUGGUCAGGAUGAUUAUUGGGCCUAAAGCAUCCGUAGCCUGCUUUGUCAGUUUUCGGUUAAAUCCAUACGCUCAACGUAUGGGCUGCCGGGAAUACUGCAAAGCUAGGGAGUGGGAGAGGUAGACGGUACUCGGUAAGAAGGGGUAAAAUCCUUUGAUCUAUUGAUGACCACCUGUGGCGAAGGCGGUCUACCAGAACACGUCCGACGGUGAGGGAUGAAAGCUGGGGGAGCAAACCGGAUUAGAUACCCGAGUAGUCC
Molecule: ribosomal RNA, 270 nt
Filed under: uncultured archaeon
Lineage: Archaea
Description: partial 16S ribosomal RNA
Rfam family: Archaeal small subunit ribosomal RNA
Source: RNAcentral